AUUGAACGCUGGCGGAAGGAAGAACACAUGCAAGUCGAGCGGAUGAAGGGAGCUUGCUCCUGGAUUCAGCGGCGGACGGGUGAGUAAUGCCUAGGAAUCUGCCUGGUAGUGGGGGAUAACGUCCGGAAACGGGCGCUAAUACCGCAUACGUCCUGAGGGAGAAAGUGGGGGAUCUUCGGACCUCACGCUAUCAGAUGAGCCUAGGUCGGAUUAGCUAGUUGGUGGGGUAAAGGCCUACCAAGGCGACGAUCCGUAACUGGUCUGAGAGGAUGAUCAGUCACACUGGAACUGAGACACGGUCCAGACUCCUACGGGAGGCAGCAGUGGGGAAUAUUGGACAAUGGGCGAAAGCCUGAUCCAGCCAUGCCGCGUGUGUGAAGAAGGUCUUCGGAUUGUAAAGCACUUUAAGUUGGGAGGAAGGGCAGUAAGUUAAUACCUUGCUGUUUUGACGUUACCAACAGAAUAAGCACCGGCUAACUUCGUG
RNAcentral lists this ribosomal RNA (484 nucleotides) under uncultured bacterium. Its description in RNAcentral is "partial 16S ribosomal RNA". It matches the Rfam family "Bacterial small subunit ribosomal RNA", at positions 30 to 507 of the family's 1533-position model. The record is from RNAcentral.